GAUGAACGCUGGCGGCGUGCCUAAUACAUGCAAGUCGAGCGAACAGAUAAGGAGCUUGCUCCUUUGACGUUAGCGGCGGACGGGUGAGUAACACGUUGGUAACCUACCUAUAAGACUGGAAUAACUCCGGGAAACCGGGGCUAAUGCCGGAUAACAUUUAGAACCGCAUGGUUCUAAAGUGAAAGAUGGUUUUGCUAUCACUUAUAGAUGGACCCGCGCCGUAUUAGCUAGUUGGUAAGGUAACGGCUUACCAAGGCAACGAUACGUAGCCGACCUGAGAGGGUGAUCGGCCACACUGGAACUGAGACACGGUCCAGACUCCUACGGGAGGCACAAGAAGGGAAUCUUCCGCAAUGGCCGAAAGCCUGACGGAGCAACGCCGCGUGAGUGAUGAAGGUCUUCGGAUCGUAAAACUCUUUUAUUAGGGAAGAACAAAUGUGUAAGUAACUGUGCACGUCUUGACGGUACCUAAUCAGAAAGCCACGGCUAACUACGUG
This 497-nucleotide ribosomal RNA is filed under the name uncultured bacterium. RNAcentral describes it as "partial 16S ribosomal RNA". It matches the Rfam family "Bacterial small subunit ribosomal RNA", at positions 28 to 507 of the family's 1533-position model. The record is from RNAcentral.